CCCUUAGAUGCUCUGGGCCGCACGCGCGCUACACUGGUCGAUGCAACGAGUUUCUUUCCUUGGCCGACAGGCCUGGGCAAUCUUUGAACAUCGAUCGUGAUCGGGAUAGAUUCUUGUAAUUUUUGAUCUUAAACGAGGAAUUCCUAGUAAAAGCAAGUCAUCAGCUUGCAUUGAUUACGUCCCUGCCCUUUGUACACACCGCCCGUCGCACCUACCGAUUGAAUGGUCCGGUGAAAUCUCCGGACUGGCGUGAGUCGGAGCAAUCUGACAAACACCGGAAAGUUGAUUAAACCUUACCAUUUAGAGGAAGGUGAAGUCGUAACA
Molecule: ribosomal RNA, 324 nt
Filed under: uncultured eukaryote
Lineage: Eukaryota
Description: partial 18S ribosomal RNA
Rfam family: Eukaryotic small subunit ribosomal RNA
Source: RNAcentral